GACGAACGCUGGCGGCGUGCUUAACACAUGCAAGUCGAACGGAAAGGCCCUUCUUUUGGGGGGUGCUCGAGUGGCGAACGGGUGAGUAACACGUGAGUAACCUGCCCUUUACGUUGGGAUAACUUCAGGAAACUGGGGUUAAUACCGGAUAGGAGCUCCUGCUGCAUGGUGGGGGUUGGAAAGUUUCGGCGGUUGGGGAUGGACGCGCGGCUUAUCAGCUUGUUGGUGGGGUGGUGGCUUACCAAGUCUUUGACGGGUAGCCGGCCUGAGAGGGUGACCGGCAAAAUUGGGACUGGGAUACGGCCAGGACUCCUCCGGGAGGCAGAAGUGGGGAAUAUUGAACAAUGGGCGGAAGCCUGAUGCAGCAACGCCGCGUGGGGGAUGACGGCCUUCGGGUUGUAACCCGCUUUCGCCUGUGACGAAGCGUGAGUGACGGUAAUGGGUAAAGAAGCACCGGCUAACUACGUG
Molecule: ribosomal RNA, 468 nt
Filed under: uncultured bacterium
Lineage: Bacteria
Description: partial 16S ribosomal RNA
Rfam family: Bacterial small subunit ribosomal RNA
Source: RNAcentral